UGCCCCGUGGCCCAGUUGGUUAAGGCGUGUGACUGUUAAUCACAAGAUCGAGAGUUCGAGCCUCUCCGGGGCAG
Molecule: non-coding RNA, 74 nt
Organism: Schizophyllum commune H4-8
Lineage: Eukaryota; Fungi; Basidiomycota; Agaricomycetes; Agaricales; Schizophyllaceae
Source: Rfam